CCUUGCUUGAUUCACCUCAUCCAGCACAUUCAUUACCUUGGUCAAUGAGAAUUAAGCCCUUACCUAAGCUAGAAAUUGAACCUUUAUAUCCUUCAAUUCAGGCCCCACCAUAACUUGAACUAAAAUCUUUGCCUGAAUCACUUAAGUACAUAUUUUUAGGAUCUGAGAAAAUUCUAUCAAUAAUCAUUGCUUCUGACCGAACCCCUG
This 207-nucleotide long non-coding RNA is filed under the name Elaeis guineensis (African oil palm). RNAcentral's name for it is "long non-coding RNA (EGUI_LNC044967)". Lineage: Eukaryota; Viridiplantae; Streptophyta; Magnoliopsida; Arecales; Arecaceae. The record is from RNAcentral.